Molecule: long non-coding RNA, 244 nt
Filed under: Gossypium raimondii (Peruvian cotton)
Lineage: Eukaryota; Viridiplantae; Streptophyta; Magnoliopsida; Malvales; Malvaceae
Description: long non-coding RNA (GRAI_LNC009219)
Source: RNAcentral
GCGGAGCAGGUGAACGGUGGCAAGUGGGGCUAACAGUGGCGGCUGGUCAGAAGACAGAGAGCCCUAGGUGCGGCGCACCUAGGGUUUUGUUUAUUUUUGUUUUUUUUCUGAUUUGGACUAUUAGGGUUUGGGUAGUUGAGCUUGUAUUUAGGCUGUUUGAGUUUAAUGUAAAUGGACUGUUUAUUAAUUUUUGUUGUGGUUUGGUCUAUUUUGAGUGCAGUCUCGGGCUAAAAUUGGGCCUUAC